Trifolium pratense (red clover) is the source of this 1387-nucleotide long non-coding RNA. RefSeq lists it as uncharacterized. The record is from RefSeq and is a predicted model, not a curated record. The transcript is spliced from 5 exons. NCBI's taxonomy places the organism in Eukaryota, Viridiplantae, Streptophyta, Magnoliopsida, Fabales, Fabaceae.
AUGACAUAUUACACUAGUAGUUUACAUCUGACGAGCAUAUGUCAGAUGUAAAACGCUAUAUGGAGUAGCCUUUACAUCUGGUACUAAUAUCCACUGAAGGGAAAAAUAUAUAGACAUAACAUUUUACAUCUGGUUCUAAUAUCACCAGAAACAAAACUGAAUGCGGUGGCAAUAUUGUAAUUAUGGCGAAAAUGAUCUAAAAUAAAUAUAUAUCUGACCAUAUUUAGAGUCAGAUGUAAGAUGUCAUGUUGAGUAAAAAAAAAAAAAAAUUUGGACAAACUGUGUUAAGUGCUUAAGUGAGAAACGCGUACGAUUCAUAUACAUCUUCGCAAACAAACCCUCAAGAACAGUCAACAACACUCACGCGAUUUUCCCAAAUCCUCAAGAACAACAAACUCUCAAUUCCUCUCUCGAUUCGAAACUCUCUCAAUCACGACAAUCCCUCACUCUCACUCGUCCUCUCUCACUCGUUCUCUCAAUUUCGUCAUCUCUCUCGGUGGUUCGCGAACCCUAGGUCCCAAAUCGAAGGUGGGUGAAACAAAUUGAAGCUUCUCUCAAAUCGUUUUUCUCCCUACAACUGAAAACACAAACAGGUAUGGAUCGUAGUUGGAUGAAAGCUAGUAGAUUAAGUGCCGAGUUUGAACAGGGAGUGAUUGAAUUUCUUCGAUUUGAUGAAAUCAAUCUUCCAAUUUGUCUUCAGGCCUUUCCACCAGACUCACCAUUAGCGGUUGACCUGUCAACUGCCAUUUUGGAGUUGGCAGAAAAUCGAGAUUUACAAAGAAUCCAUGACAAAUGGCUUUUGAGCAGUGCUUGUCGAUCACAAGGUGCAAAGCUUGAAGUGGAUAGACUCAAUCUCAGAUGCUAUAGUAUCGCUUUCUUGUACAUUGGUUGGGGACUAGAUGGCUCAGUUUGGAUUGUAUUAGAGUUGAAAGGGAGGAAUGAGGAUGGUGUACAUUUUGAGGUUUUACAACCUGGUCAUUUUGAGGUUUUGUAGAAGGUAUACAUUACAUGGAUCUCGGAGGCUAUUUCGAUCAACCCUUUAUGAUCAUAUAGUUUUGAGGAAUGCAUUGUGCUUUCAUGAGAUAUCCAGCCUUCAUGGAGGAUAGAACAACAUGUUUUAGAGGUCUUGUUAAUAUUUUUUCCAUUUGGCAGCAACUUGUUGACAAAAGUUUAAUACAUGUAUGUUUUCACAAAUGAGAGGAAGAAUUGAACUAUUUUUCAAGCAGAACAAACUUAGUAAAGAAGCAUGUCAGGGAUAUACUUCAGGUCAAUAUCUUGUUAAAAUUGCAAUAAUAGGUUCUAGGAACAUGUGCUUUGGACUUGAUUUCUUGACAGCACAAGAUGUUGUGUUUUUUGUAACGACCCAAAAUUUAGUAUUCGUUAUUUA